UCACUUUGUUGUUGUUGUAUA
RNAcentral lists this non-coding RNA (21 nucleotides) under Caenorhabditis elegans. Lineage: Eukaryota; Metazoa; Nematoda; Chromadorea; Rhabditida; Rhabditidae. The record is from RNAcentral.